Molecule: ribosomal RNA, 465 nt
Filed under: uncultured bacterium
Lineage: Bacteria
Description: partial 16S ribosomal RNA
Rfam family: Bacterial small subunit ribosomal RNA
Source: RNAcentral
CCUACGGGUGGCAGCAGUGGGGAAUAUUGCGCAAUGGGCGAAAGCCUGACGCAGCGACGCCGCGUGAGGGAUGAAGGUCUUCGGAUCGUAAACCUCUGUCAGCAGGGAAGAACGGUCACUGUGCUAAUCAGCAGUGAAUUGACGGUACCUGACUAAGAAGCCCCGGCUAACUACGUGCCAGCAGCCGCGGUAAUACGUAGGGGGCAAGCGUUAUCCGGAUUUACUGGGUGUAAAGGGAGCGUAGACGGCUGUGCAAGCCAGAUGUGAAAGCCCGGGGCUCAACCCCGGGACGGCAUUUGGAACUGGGUGGCGGGAGUGUCGGAGAGGCAGGCGGAAUUCGUGGUGUAGCGGUGAAAUGCGUAGAUAUUAGGAGGAACACCGGUGGCGAAGGCGGCCUGCUGGACGAUGACUGACGUUGAGGCUCGAAAGCGUGGGGAUCAAACAGGAUUAGAUACCCUGGUAGUC